GGUUCGGUGGUCUAGGGGUAUGAUUAUCGCUUAGGGUGCGAGAGGUCCCAGUGUCAAAUCCCGGCCGAACCC
Trichonephila clavipes is the source of this 72-nucleotide non-coding RNA. The record is from the annotation of a GenBank genome assembly. NCBI's taxonomy places the organism in Eukaryota, Metazoa, Arthropoda, Arachnida, Araneae, Nephilidae.